RNAcentral lists this ribosomal RNA (587 nucleotides) under uncultured bacterium. RNAcentral's name for it is "bacterial SSU rRNA". It matches the Rfam family "Bacterial small subunit ribosomal RNA", at positions 338 to 916 of the family's 1533-position model. The record is from RNAcentral.
CCUACGGGAGGCAGCAGUAGGGAAUCUUCCGCAAUGGACGAAAGUCUGACGGAGCAACGCCGCGUGAACGAUGAAGGCCUUCGGGUCGUAAAGUUCUGUUGUUAGGGAAGAACAAGUGCUAGUUGAAUAAGCUGGCACCUUGACGGUACCUAACCAGAAAGCCACGGCUAACUACGUGCCAGCAGCCGCGGUAAUACGUAGGUGGCAAGCGUUGUCCGGAAUUAUUGGGCGUAAAGCGCGCGCAGGCGGUUUCUUAAGUCUGAUGUGAAAGCCCCCGGCUCAACCGGGGAGGGUCAUUGGAAACUGGGAAACUUGGGUGCAGAAGAGGAAAGUGGAAUUCCAAGUGUAGCGGUGAAAUGCGUAGAGAUUUGGAGGAACACCAGUGGCGAAGGCGACUUUCUGGUCUGUAACUGACGCUGAGGCGCGAAAGCGUGGGGAGCAAACAGGAUUAGAUACCCUGGUAGUCCACGCUGUAAACGAUGAGUGCUAAGUGUUAGAGGGUUUCCGCCCUUUAGUGCUGAAGUUAACGCAUUAAGCACUCCGCCUGGGGAUACGGUCGCAAGACUGAAACUCAAAUGAAUUGACGG